GACGAACGCUGGCGGCGUGCCUAAUACAUGCAAGUCGAGCGCAGUUGCGAGCGGGUGAGUAACGCGUAGGUAACUACCUGUUAGAGUGGGGUAACUAUUGGAAACGAUCGCUAAUACCGCCUACUUGUAGAUGGCCCUGCGUUGGAUUAGCUAGUAGGUAGGGUAAUGGCCUCCCUAGGCAACGAUACAUAGCCGACCUGGGAGGGGGAGCGGCCAAACUGGGAAUGGGACAAGGGCCAGAAUCCUAAGGGAGGGAGCAGGAGGGGAACUUCGGAAAAGGGGGGAAACCUGACCGAGCAAAGCCGCGGGAGUGAAGAAGGGUUUCGGAGCGUAAAGCUCUGUUGUGAAGGAAGCGGUACUUAAACAGAAAGGGACGGCUAACUACGUGCCAGCAGCCGCGGUAAUAC
This 407-nucleotide ribosomal RNA is filed under the name uncultured bacterium. Its description in RNAcentral is "partial 16S ribosomal RNA". It matches the Rfam family "Bacterial small subunit ribosomal RNA", at positions 28 to 526 of the family's 1533-position model. The record is from RNAcentral.